AGUCAGAGGCGAUGAAGGGCGUGCUAAUCUGCGAUAAGCGCCGGUAAGGUGAUAUGAACCGUUAUAACCGGCGAUACCCGAAUGGGGAAACCCAGUGUGACUCGUCACACUAUCAUUAACUGAAUCCAUAGGUUAAUGAGGCGAACCGGGGGAACUGAAACAUCUAAGUACCCCGAGGAAAAGAAAUCAACCGAGAUUCCC
RNAcentral lists this ribosomal RNA (201 nucleotides) under Salmonella enterica subsp. enterica serovar Infantis. Its description in RNAcentral is "partial 23S ribosomal RNA". It matches the Rfam family "Bacterial large subunit ribosomal RNA", at positions 38 to 239 of the family's 2925-position model. Lineage: Bacteria; Pseudomonadati; Pseudomonadota; Gammaproteobacteria; Enterobacterales; Enterobacteriaceae. The record is from RNAcentral.